UGAGGCAGAAAGGAAAUAGCAAGCAGCACACGAUUGUUUCCAAGUGAGAGGGUUCCUGGUAGAGAGCCAGGCGCUGAUGCCCUGGCUGCGUUGCAGUCGAUGGAGCUGCGCUGGGGCCGUGUGCUUCUCACUGUGGCACAUCUUUUUAUUUUCCCUUGAACUAGAGAAUUUGCCUGAAGUAUGGAUGAGUCACAGAUACCAUACUUCCUCUUCUCUGAAGCACAUUUACAUUUUUGAAGAAUUACAACUGACAACAAUCAGCCAUACUUCCAAAAUAUCCUUUCAGGGAGGAGAAAGGAGGAACAGUGAUGCUGAAAUCAGCCCGAAAGGAUUUAUCAGAAUAUAUUUAUUUAUUCAUGGGUCCCAGUGCCAGUGGCAGUUUUUUCCCCAGGAUUUAGCAACCUAAAGCACAAUCCCUGCCCUCUGUUCAAGAGCCAGGAAUAGUGGAAAUGCAAGUGAGUACCAGCAAUCAGCUGUCCAACCACCUCUGACCAUAAGCUUGUUCAAAGUGGCACAUGGUUGAAAAGCAGCAGGCCGCGUCUUAUCUACGCUACAUUUUCUUCUUGACAAUGCUGGAGUUAUAAUGUGGGAAGUCUGAAGAAGAUAAAACCAAAAUAGACAAGAGAAAUCAGUUUUUCUCCUGGGAUUUAAACCAAGAGGAUCUACUACUGCCAAUUACUGUUGUCAUGCCAGAGUAACUUGAUAUAAACCAGUGGGGUAACAGACAGUGAAAACAGAUAGUUACAGAGGAGAGAGGAGAGAGGAGAGAGGAGAGAAGCCUAGGACUCUCCUGUUCACAAAGACUUUGUCACAACCACUUGUCCGUUGUCUUUGUCAUCUCACUUGCACUAGUGCUGUGAAAGCUAGUCAGGUGCUGGGACAGGAAGGAUGGGACCCUGGCAGUCAGACAUGAGAGGUGGAGCUGGAGCAAAGGCUCACGCAAUACAGCACAGCAAGGCUCGAGUUAGAGAUGGCCACAUCAGCACAGAGGAAUACCAAACUCCCAGGAGUGACAGCCAAGCUGUUUGACAGGGUUCACUUCCACGUACUGAGGAGUCCAAGAUAAAAGUGGCCUUCAACCUACCCUGCUUCAUUGCUCCUCUCAGCCUCCUUGAUGCUGAUAUGUCUGUGUCCUGUACCUCUAGCUUCUCCUGCCCUGGUUCUUUGGAGAACACCAUGCCUUCUCCCAGAAGGCACACCAGGUGGCUUAGCAGCCAGGAUGAGCUUUUGUGGCUGAGGUUGCUUUGCAUGAUACCAAGUCACGGGGUGGUAUUUACCAUUGCAUCCCUUUGUAAACAGUGUCACCUUGACAGGUGGUUUUCCUGCACUACUUUUUGGAGCACCGACACCCCUGAGGUGUCAGCUUACAGUCUGGUCAGUUCUUACUUUUCCAGCAGUGCUUAUCUGUGGUGCACUGAUGUUCUGCUACUGCUGGCCAGAUUCACAAUAGGAUUCUUUACGAAGUAGAAUGAGGGAUGUGCUCCAUUUGCCUCCUUUAAUUAGGUCUACCACUUCUGACACACACCUACAAGUGUGUCUGUGUGUAUGUGCAAUCCUGAAUGAAUUCCUGCUUAUAAUGUGCACCAAAGGCGUCCUUUUUCACUAGGGGAAAAGAGCCUCCACUCAUGACCCCAGUUCUUUGGAACAAUUUUUGAAGUGUUAAAUUCUGUCUUCAAUUCUACUUUGGAAUAAAUUCAAAGUCUUUCAAAGGAAAAGAUGAGGUUUUCAGUUCAUGCUGUCUCUGAAGAAAUGGUUAGACACCACCUUAAAACUUCAAGACCUUCUGUUACAAUCUUUAUCAAAAUCUGUAUAUUUUGAGGAAGUAUUCUUGCUUUGAGUUAAUUAGCAUUUUAAUAAAAUGGCUGAAAACUGAAACUUUUUUAUUCAUGGUGCACAUCAAUCAAAGUAUGUUUAGGAUAUCUGUUUACACUCUGUGCUUGUUAUGAGUUUAAAGAUCGCAAAGAUGGGCAAAUGUUUUAACACUUCAGAUUGAGAGACUUUUUGAACUUCCUGCUCUGCACAAACCCUGUUCUUCCCAUUCAAGUGGAAAAAGUAAUGCAGUGAUUAACAAAUGUCCAUCUGAAACUGGGAUAUCUCCCUACAGACGGCAAAGGUUUCAGGAAGUGCUGUUUCCAGUAAUUGAAUAUGGUGAUAUAAUUUAUAACUGCUCAGCCGCAACUUUGCACAAAUCAGACAAAAUGCUCCUGAUUGCUUAGAUUAUCUUUUUAUCACAACACCACAAUCUUCUGACCAAAGAUGACAUUUCUCCUUUUAUUUAUAGCCUUUCAGGAGGCAAAAGGUUUCCGAGAUCUGGAAUUGCUUGGCUUCUUACAUCACUGCCAGUCUGAUGGGCUGUCCUUCAGGCUGCAGCACUUGCAGCACCAAACAUCCUGUUGCUAAAUCAACUGUAUUGUGAUGCAGGGAUACAUGCAAUUUUUGCAGGUAUACACACAUGAGUACGUGCCCACACAUACAAGACAACAAUUUGAUGGUGUUCUCUGUUGGAAAGAGAUGGUUUUCUUUUUUGUUUGAGUUUUUUUAAUCUGAAUUAAUAAAGCAAAUCCUAUAGAAUAA
This is a long non-coding RNA of Haemorhous mexicanus (house finch), 2574 nucleotides long. RefSeq lists it as uncharacterized. The record is from RefSeq and is a predicted model, not a curated record. NCBI's taxonomy places the organism in Eukaryota, Metazoa, Chordata, Aves, Passeriformes, Fringillidae. The transcript has 3 exons.